AAAGUGAUGCUAAUACCGGAUGAUAUCAGAAGAACUUUGGUUUUUCUGAUCAAAGGUGGCCUCUACAUGUAAGCUACUGUUUGGGGAUGAGCCCGCGUACCAUUAGCUAGUUGGUAGGGUAAAGGCCUACCAAGGCAUCGAUGGUUAGCUGGUCUGAGAGGAUGAUCAGCCACACUGGAACUGACACACGGUCCAGACUCCUACGGGAGGCAGCAGUGAGGAAUUUUGCGCAAUGGGGGAAACCCUGACGCAGCAACGCCGCGUGAGUGAUGAAGGCCUUAGGGUCGUAAAGCUCUGUCAAGCGGGAAGAAAGUUUUAUGUAUUAAUACUACAUAUUAUUGACGGUACCGCUAAAGGAAGCACCGGCUAACUCCGUGCCAGCAGCCGCGGUAAUACGGGGGGUGCAAGCGUUAUUCGGAAUUAUUGGGCGUAAAGGGAGCGCAGGCGGUUUGAUAAGUCAGAUGUGAAAGCCCGGGGCUUGACCCCGGAAGUGCAUUUGAUACUAUUAGACUUGAGUAUGGGAGAGGGUAGUGGAAUUCCUGGUGUAGAGGUGAAAUUCGUAGAUAUCAGGAGGAACACCGGUGGCGAAGGCGACUACCUGGACCAAUACUGACGCUGAGGCUCGAAGGCGUGGGGAGCAAACAGGAUUAGAUACCCUGGUAGUCCACGCAGUAAACGGUGAUCACUAGGUGUAGCGGGUAUUUACCCCUGCUGUGCCGCAGUUAACGCAUUAAGUGAUCCGCCUGGGAAGUACGGCCGCAAGGCUAAAACUCAAAUUGACGGGGGCCCGCACAAGCGGUGGAGCAUGUGGUUUAAUUCGACGCAACGCGAAGAGCCUUACCUGGAUUUGACAUCUUGGGAAUCCUAUCGAAAGACUGGAGUGCCCUUCGGGGAACCCAAAGACAGGUGCUGCAUGGCUGUCGUCAGCUCGUGUCGUGAGAUGUUGGGUUAAGUCCCGCAACGAGCGCAACCCUUAUCUUUAGUUACCAUCAAGUAAUGUUGGGGACUCUAGAGAUACUGCCCCGGUUAACGGGGAGGAAGGUGGGGAUGACGUCAAGUCCUCAUGGCCCUUAUAUCCAGGGCUACACACGUGCUACAAUGGUAUGUACAAAGGGUCGCAAACCCGCGAGGGUGAGCUAAUCUCAGAAAGCAUAUCUCAGUUCGGAUUGGAGUCUGCAACUCGACUCUAUGAAGUUGGAAUCGCUAGUAAUCGCGGAUCAGCAUGCCGCGGUGAUUACGUUCCCGGGCCUUGUACACACCGCCCGUCACACCAUGAGAGUUGGUUGUACCCGACGUCACUGGGCCAACCCCUUCGGGGGGGGCAGGUGCCUAAGGUAUGGCUGAUGAUUGGGGUGAAGUCGUAACAAGGUA
Molecule: ribosomal RNA, 1371 nt
Filed under: metagenome
Description: bacterial SSU rRNA
Rfam family: Bacterial small subunit ribosomal RNA
Source: RNAcentral